RNAcentral lists this ribosomal RNA (459 nucleotides) under uncultured bacterium. RNAcentral's name for it is "partial 16S ribosomal RNA". It matches the Rfam family "Bacterial small subunit ribosomal RNA", at positions 338 to 795 of the family's 1533-position model. The record is from RNAcentral.
CCUACGGGUGGCAGCAGUGAGGAAUAUUGGUCAAUGGGCGCAAGCCUGAACCAGCCAAGUCGCGUGAGGGAAGACGGUCCUAUGGAUUGUAAACCUCUUUUGUCGGGGAGCAAAAGACGCCACGCGUGGCGUUCCGAGAGUACCCGGAGAAAAAGCAUCGGCUAACUCCGUGCCAGCAGCCGCGGUAAUACGGAGGAUGCGAGCGGUAUCCGGAUUUAUUGGGUUUAAAGGGUGCGCAGGCGGAAGAUCAAGUCAGCGGUAAAAUUGAGAGGCUCAACCUCUUCGAGCCGUUGAAACUGUAUUUCUUGAGUGCGGGAGAGGCAAGCGGAAUGCGGGGUGUAGCGGUGAAAUGCGUAGAUAUACGGAGGAACACCAGUGGCGAAGGCGGAUUGCUGGACAGUAACUGACGCUGAGGCGCGAAAGCGUGGGGAGCAAACAGGAUUAGAUACCCGAGUAGUC